CCCAGGGGAGGCUCCUUGCCAGCGAUCGGCAGUGUUGGGCAGCUGCCUGUGCCCAUUUUGGAGACCAGUCACGUGGAGGCAGCCUUCUGGAGCUGCCCGGGAUUAUUCCACUGUGGUGACGGUCCCUGAGGCACUCCUGGAGCUGGACCUGGAACACAUGCAGAUGCCCUGGGAAUCGGUGCUGUCAGACUGGCUGCUACAGAGAACACAGCAGGGAGGGCCCCAGGCCGCUGAUGCUGCACAGGAAUGUGCUGGAACAAGGAAACAGAGGAGAAUCUCCUACUGCAUUGUGGGGCGGAGACUUCCUUAUGACAUCUAAUAAAGGAGGGUAAUAUCUGUCUGAUUCGCCCUAUUGUGGGCGUGCUGGCAGCUCAGAGCCUGGAACCUGCUUCAGAUUCUGUGUCUCCCUCUCUCUGCCUCUUCCUGCUCACAUC
Suricata suricatta (meerkat) is the source of this 434-nucleotide long non-coding RNA. RefSeq lists it as uncharacterized. The transcript has 3 exons. The record is from RefSeq and is a predicted model, not a curated record. Lineage: Eukaryota; Metazoa; Chordata; Mammalia; Carnivora; Herpestidae.